Mesocricetus auratus (golden hamster) is the source of this 364-nucleotide long non-coding RNA. RefSeq lists it as uncharacterized. The transcript has 3 exons. The record is from RefSeq and is a predicted model, not a curated record. NCBI's taxonomy places the organism in Eukaryota, Metazoa, Chordata, Mammalia, Rodentia, Cricetidae.
UCCAUCUUUCAUGCUUCAGCUAGAUGUGUCUUCUAGAAAACCGUGCCACAUGGACAUUCCGCACUUUCCUCAGUUCCAGGAACACCAUGCCGGCAUGUCACUUCAGGAAAUGAGUGAUUCCUUCCUGAGGUGUCUUCCUUCCUUCCUGCCAUGACUUCCGACUUCCUAGGUAAAAUGAGAAUGAGCCAUAUAAUCUUGAAGCCCCAUGGAAGAAGAAAGUGACUUGUGUCAAAUGCCCCCUUAUCAUGCCUUGACAGAUAAGUGAGCCUGGAAGAGGGAACCACCAAGAAUCCUGAUACUGGGAUGUGACGAUGGACCUCAAGCCAAGCCACCAUCAGGAGGCUGGAGCAGUCAGCUGAGAAGC